CAGUUGAGCAGACGCUAGACACGGCGAGCAUGUUCUUGCAUGUGCGUACUCGGACGUUCGAUUACUGUGUCACAUUUUUAUAGUAUCUAAUGUCUACGUAAUCACGUGUAAUAAUUCAACACAAGUUAGUAAUAUCUUAAUGAAAAAAACCAAACAAAAGAUGUAUUUUAUAUUAUUUUACUAAAUGAUGGCUUAGUCACAAUGCCAAAGCAAUGGUUAACAAAUGAUAAAAAGUAUACAUUUUGGCCUAUAUGUAAAUUCAGCACAAUUUAUUAAUUUAAUUAAAUCAUGUGCUGAAAUAAAUACACAAUGGAUGGCAAAAUAUGAAAUAUAAUUCAUAUAUGAAACAGCAGGUGUAAGAAGUAAAUUCAAAGAUGUCAGUAAAAGGGAUGUAAACGCACCUCUUAAAAUUUGGUUAUUUCACACAUAAGAUCGAUUAAAAAAAGACAAGAAUAAUUAAAAUUAUUUUUCUUGGAAUUUAACUUACAAUUAGAACUUAAUUUACAACUCAUGUUAUUUACAAAAAGAGACUUUAAGUUUGAAAAUGACAGUGUUUUAUUUUAUCAAUACUUUAUGUUUUAUACGAUUUUUGUUUUUUUUUUGUUAGAUUUUUUAAAGAUACAGUUUGAAAAAUGUAUACUGUCAGUUAAA
This 651-nucleotide unclassified non-coding RNA is filed under the name Monomorium pharaonis (pharaoh ant). RNAcentral describes it as "uncharacterized LOC105833430, transcript variant X6". Lineage: Eukaryota; Metazoa; Arthropoda; Insecta; Hymenoptera; Formicidae. The record is from RNAcentral.